RNAcentral lists this ribosomal RNA (479 nucleotides) under uncultured bacterium. RNAcentral describes it as "partial 16S ribosomal RNA". It matches the Rfam family "Bacterial small subunit ribosomal RNA", at positions 28 to 507 of the family's 1533-position model. The record is from RNAcentral.
GAUGAACGCUAGCGGGAGGCUUAACACAUGCAAGCCGAGGGGUAUAGUUCUUUCGGGACCUAGAGACCGGCGCACGGGUGCGUAACGCGUAUGCAACUUGCCCUACUGAAAAGGAUAGCCCUUCGAAAGGAGGAUUAAUACUUUAUAACAGAUUUAAUGGCAUCAUUAGAUUUUGAAAGAUUUAUCGCAGUAGGAUAGGCAUGCGUAAGAUUAGUUAGUUGGUGAGGUAACGGCUCACCAAGACGAUGAUCUUUAGGGGGCCUGAGAGGGUGAACCCCCACACUGGUACUGAGACACGGACCAGACUCCUACGGGAGGCAGCAGUGAGGAAUAUUGGACAAUGGGUGGAAGCCUGAUCCAGCCAUCCCGCGUGUAGGAUGACGGCCUUAUGGGUUGUAAACUACUUUUAUCUGGGGAUAAACCUACUUACGUGUAAGUAGCUGAAGGUACCAGAAGAAUAAGCACCGGCUAACUCCGUG